This 1332-nucleotide ribosomal RNA is filed under the name metagenome. Its description in RNAcentral is "bacterial SSU rRNA". It matches the Rfam family "Bacterial small subunit ribosomal RNA", at positions 190 to 1498 of the family's 1533-position model. The record is from RNAcentral.
UUAAGCGCGGGGUAAAGAUGGCCUCUGUUUCAAGCUGUCGCUUUGAGAUGAGUCUGCGUUCCAUUAGCUAGUUGGUGAAUUAAGAGCUCACCAAGGCGAUGAUGGAUAGGCGGCCUUAACGGGUGGUCGCCCACACUGGGAUUGAGAUACGGCCCAGACUCCUACGGGAGGCAGCAGUCGAGAAUAGUCUACAAUGGGGGAAACCCUGAUAGUGCGACGCCGCGUGGAUGAAGAAUCUUUUCGGAGUGUAAAAUCCUUUUCUAAGUGACCAAUGGUUUAUAGUUUAAUAGGUUAUAGACAGAGAUGUUAGCUUGGGAAUAAGCCACGGCUAACUCCGUGCCAGCAGCCGCGGUAAUACGGAGGUGGCGAGCGUUGUCCGGAAUGACUAGGCGUAAAGGGCAAGUAGGCGGAGAUAUAAGUCAGAUGUAAAAUACAGCGGCUCAACCGCUGGUCUGCAUUUGAUACUGUAUUUCUAGAGUAAGGUAGAGGAAGGCGGAAUUCCUGGUGUAGUGGUGCAAUGCGCAGAUAUCAGGAAGAACACCGAUGGCGAAGGCAGCCUUCUGGGCCAUUACUGACGCUAAAUUGCGAAGGUGUGGGUAUCGAACAGGAUUAGAUACCCUGGUAGUCCACACAGUAAACGAUAUGCACUAGGUGUAGGGAGAGAGAAUCUUUCUGUGCCGGAGUUAACGCAUUAAGUGCAUCGCCUGGGGAGUACGAUCGCAAGGUUUAAACUCAAAGGAAUUGACGGGGGCCCGCACAAGCGGUGGAGCACGUGGUUUAAUUCGAUGCAACGCGACAAACCUUACGGGGGCUUGACAUCCGGAGAAUACCUUAGAGAUGAGGUAGUGCCCUUCGGGGAACUUCGUGACAGGUGCUGCAUGGCUGUCGUCAGCUCGUGUCGUGAGAUGUUGGGUUAAGUCCCGCAACGAGCGCAACCCCUAUCGUUAGUUGCCAUCAUUAAGUUGGGGACUCUAACGAGACUGCCAGUGUAAUAAACUGGAGGAAGGUGGGGACGACGUCAAGUCAUCAUGGUCCUUAUGUCCAGGGCUACACACGUGCUACAAUGGCCGGUAUAGAGGGACGCGAAUCCGCGAGGUGGAGCUAAUCCCAUAAACCCGGUCUCAGUUCGGAUCGGAGUCUGCAACUCGACUCCGUGAAGUUGGAAUCGCUAGUAAUCGCGUAUCAGAAUGGCGCGGUGAAUACGUUCCCGGGCCUUGUACACACCGCCCGUCAAGUCAGCCGAGUUGAUUGCACCCGAAGGAGGUGAGCUAACCGCAAGGGAGCAGCUUUCGAAGGUGUGAUUAGCGAGGGGGACUAAGUCGUAACAAGGUA